Molecule: ribosomal RNA, 468 nt
Filed under: uncultured bacterium
Lineage: Bacteria
Description: partial 16S ribosomal RNA
Rfam family: Bacterial small subunit ribosomal RNA
Source: RNAcentral
GACGAACGCUGGCGGCGUGCUUAACACAUGCAAGUCGAACGGAAAGGCCCUGCUUUUGUGGGGUGCUCGAGUGGCGAACGGGUGAGUAACACGUGAGUAACCUGCCCUUGACUUUGGGAUAACUUCAGGAAACUGGGGCUAAUACCGGAUAGGAGCUCCUGCUGCAUGGUGGGGGUUGGAAAGUUUCGGCGGUUGGGGAUGGACUCGCGGCUUAUCAGCUUGUUGGUGGGGUAGUGGCUUACCAAGGCUUUGACGGGUAGCCGGCCUGAGAGGGUGACCGGCCACAUUGGGCCUGCGAUACGGCCCAGACUCCUACGGUGGGCAGCAGUGGGGAAUAUUGCACAAUGGGCGGAAGCCUGAUGCAGCAACGCCGCGUGCGUGAUGACGGCCUUUGGGUUGUAAACCGCUUUCGCCUGUGACGAAGCGUGAGUGACGGUAAUGGGUAAAGAAGCACCGGCUAACUACGUG